RNAcentral lists this ribosomal RNA (324 nucleotides) under uncultured eukaryote. Its description in RNAcentral is "partial 18S ribosomal RNA". It matches the Rfam family "Eukaryotic small subunit ribosomal RNA", at positions 1470 to 1796 of the family's 1831-position model. The record is from RNAcentral.
CCCUUAGAUGUUCUGGGCCGCACGCGCGCUACACUGAUGCAUUCAACGAGUUUCUUCCUGGUCCGAGAGGAAUGGGUAACCUUUUGAAAGUGCAUCGUGAUAGGGAUAGACUAUUGCAAUUAUUGGUCUUCAACGAAGAAUUCCUAGUAGACGUAGUUCAUCAGACUGUAUCGAUUACGUCCCUGCCCUUUGUACACACCGCCCGUCGCUCCUACCGAUUGAAUGCUCAGGUGAGCCAUUCGGACUUUCAUCAUGCUGGUUUCCAGUUUUGAUGAAGGAAAGUCUUGCGAACCUUAUCAUUUAGAGGAAGGAGAAGUCGUAACA